GCUGGGCAUGGUGGCACGUGCCUGUAAUCCCAGCUACUUAGGAGGCUGAGGCAUGAGAAUCGCUUGAACUCAGGAGGCAGAGGCUGCAGUGAGCCAAGAUCGCGCCACUGCACUCCAGCCUGGGUGACAAAGCAAGACCCUGUCUCAA
Pongo abelii (Sumatran orangutan) is the source of this 148-nucleotide unclassified non-coding RNA. It matches the Rfam family "Metazoan signal recognition particle RNA". Rfam says of the family: The signal recognition particle (SRP) is a universally conserved ribonucleoprotein. It is involved in the co-translational targeting of proteins to membranes. Lineage: Eukaryota; Metazoa; Chordata; Mammalia; Primates; Hominidae. The record is from Ensembl.